AAUUGGAAAGCGAUCUCACGGUUACUGGAGAUUUUUGAAAACUCCAGCAAAGUCACUGACUCACACACGUGUGUACAGCAGAGGAGGAACGACAGUAGUACUUCUUGGCUUUCAGCUGUCAGGUGGAGAAGAUCCUUUCAGAUAAAAUCACAGAAAAUUUUCAUAAGGCUUUGCAGUCCUAUGAUCCUAAGCAUACUGGAACUAUUAAAAGAAGUCAUCUAAGAAAAGUCCUACAGCUGUGUUGUUCCUCUUUGUCAGAUCAACAGUUUAUGAAGUUAUGCUAUAAAUACAAGAAUAACUCCUCUGAUGGAAUCUUUUACAAGAUGCUUUUGGAUAACUUAAAAGUUGCUAUUCUUUCUGGUGACUUAAAUGGUAUCAGCUCACAUAUAUCAAAGGAAAAACAACAAAGAGAAGAAAAAAGGCAAACAGAGCUUUCAAAAAGAAUCAAGCAGAUUGAAGAUCAAACUAACAAAUACGCCCAGGAUAGAACUGUUGAUGAAGUAGUUAAAAGGUUGAAGGACAGAGUGAUACAAGAGGCAGCCACUACUAAAGACAGCUUUUUUACCUACAACAAGUAUGAGAAAAUUAAUAAAGCUGGCUUGCAGAAGAUGAAAGUGCUAGUAGUUGAGGCUGUAGUCACCAACGUUACUAUUGUGACUGAUUCUCUCCAGCUUUGA
Molecule: long non-coding RNA, 677 nt
Filed under: Calidris pugnax (ruff)
Lineage: Eukaryota; Metazoa; Chordata; Aves; Charadriiformes; Scolopacidae
Description: lncRNA (ENSCPUG00000007382.1)
Source: RNAcentral